RNAcentral lists this ribosomal RNA (38 nucleotides) under Aulacomnium androgynum. RNAcentral's name for it is "partial 26S ribosomal RNA". Lineage: Eukaryota; Viridiplantae; Streptophyta; Bryopsida; Aulacomniales; Aulacomniaceae. The record is from RNAcentral.
CAGACCUCUAAUCGGGAAAGACCACCCGCCGAGUUUAA